Molecule: ribosomal RNA, 396 nt
Filed under: uncultured bacterium
Lineage: Bacteria
Description: bacterial SSU rRNA
Rfam family: Bacterial small subunit ribosomal RNA
Source: RNAcentral
GGAAUCUUGCGCAAUGGGCGCAAGCCUGAUGCAGCGACGCCGCGUGGGCGAAGAAGGUUUUCGGAUCGUAAAGCCCUUUUCUGUGUGACGAGUAAGGACGGUAGCACAGGAAUAAGUGUCGGCUAACUACGUGCCAGCAGCCGCGGUAAAACGUAGGACGCAAACGUUAUCCGGAGUUACUGGGCGUAAAGCGCGAGCAGGCGGUUGAGUAAGUUACCUAUGAAAGCUCUCGGCUAAACUGGGAGAGGCUAGGUGAUACUGCUGAACUAGAGUGAGAAAGAGGGAAGUAGAAUUCCGGGUGUAGUGGUGAAAUGCGUAGAUAUCCGGAGGAAUACCAGUGGCGAAGGCGGCUUCCUGGUUCUCAACUGACGCUGAGACGCGAAAGCGUGGGUAGCG